RNAcentral lists this ribosomal RNA (512 nucleotides) under uncultured bacterium. RNAcentral describes it as "bacterial SSU rRNA". It matches the Rfam family "Bacterial small subunit ribosomal RNA", at positions 28 to 537 of the family's 1533-position model. The record is from RNAcentral.
GACGAACGCUGGCGGCGUGCCUAACACAUGCAAGUCGAGCGGAGUCGAUUGACGGAAGCCUUCGGGCGGAAGAUGGUUGACUUAGCGGCGGAUGGGUGAGUAACGCGUGGGCAACCUGCCUCGAAGACCGGGAUAACAGCCCGAAAGGGCUGCUAAUACCGGAUGUGGUCAAGGAUCCGCAUGGAUUUUUGAUUAAAGGGGAAACCCGUUUCGAGAUGGGCCCGCGUCCUAUCAGCUAGUUGGUGAGGUAAAAGCUCACCAAGGCGACGACGGGUAGCCGGCCUGAGAGGGUGACCGGCCACACUGGAACUGAGACACGGUCCAGACUCCUACGGGGGCAGCAGUGGGGAAUCUUCCACAAUGGGCGAAAGCCUGAUGGAGCGACGCCGCGUGAGCGAAGAAGGCCUUCGGGUUGUAAAGCUCUGUCUGGAGGGACGAAGGAAGUGACGGUACCUCCGGAGGAAGCCACGGCUAACUACGUGCCAGCCGCCGCGAUAAUACCCACGAGAGUA